UCCAAUGUGGUGUAGUGGUCAACAUUGCUGUCUUUCAAAUGGUGUGAAUGCACAGCAGCCCGGGGUUCGAUUCCCCGCAUUGGAA
This 85-nucleotide transfer RNA is filed under the name Lentinula raphanica. RNAcentral describes it as "tRNA-Glu". It matches the Rfam family "tRNA". From Rfam's summary of the family: Transfer RNA (tRNA) molecules are approximately 80 nucleotides in length. Their secondary structure includes four short double-helical elements and three loops (D, anti-codon, and T loops). Further hydrogen bonds mediate the characteristic L-shaped molecular structure. tRNAs have two regions of fundamental functional importance: the anti-codon, which is responsible for specific mRNA codon recognition, and the 3' end, to which the tRNAs corresponding amino acid is attached (by aminoacyl-tRNA synthetases). tRNAs cope with the degeneracy of the genetic code in two manners: having more than one tRNA (with a specific anti-codon) for a particular amino acid; and 'wobble' base-pairing, i.e. permitting non-standard base-pairing at the 3rd anti-codon position. Lineage: Eukaryota; Fungi; Basidiomycota; Agaricomycetes; Agaricales; Omphalotaceae. The record is from RNAcentral.